This 238-nucleotide ribosomal RNA is filed under the name uncultured bacterium. RNAcentral's name for it is "partial 16S ribosomal RNA". It matches the Rfam family "Bacterial small subunit ribosomal RNA", at positions 96 to 334 of the family's 1533-position model. The record is from RNAcentral.
CGGCGGACGGGUGAGUAACGCGUGGGUAACCUGCCUCAUACAGGGGGAUAACAGUUGGAAACGGCUGCUAAUACCGCAUAAGCGCACAGUACCGCAAGGUACGGUGUGAAAAACUCCGGUGGUAUGAGAUGGACCCGCGUCUGAUUAGGUAGUUGGUGGGGUAACGGCCUACCAAGCCGACGAUCAGUAGCCGACCUGAGAGGGUGACCGGCCACAUUGGGACUGAGACACGGCCCAA